AGAUUGAACGCUGGCGGCGUGCCUAACACAUGCAAGUCGAGCGGUAACAGGUGUAGCAAUACAUGCUGACGAGCGGCGAACGGGUGAGUAAUGCUUUGGAAUCUUCCCAGUAGUGGGGAAUAACCAGUCGAAAGAUUGGCUAAUACCGCAUACGUCUGUAAAGGGAAAGCGGGGGCUCGUAAGACCUCGCGCUAUUGGAUGAGCCAAAGUCGGAUUAGCUAGUUGGUGGGGUAACGGCCUACCAAGGCGACAAUCCGUAGCUGGUCUGAGAGGACGACCAGCCACACCGGAACUGAGACACGGUCCGGACUCCUACGGGAGGCAGCAGUGGGGAAUAUUGGACAAUGGGGGAAACCCUGAUCCAGCGACGCCGCGUGUGUGAAGAAGGCCUGCGGGUUGUAAAGCACUUUUAGUGGGGACAAAAAAGCUACGGAUUAAUACUCUGUGGUCUUGAUUUAACCCAAAGAAAAAGCAACCGGCUAAACUCUGUGCCAGCAGCCGCGGU
This 505-nucleotide ribosomal RNA is filed under the name uncultured bacterium. RNAcentral's name for it is "SSU rRNA". It matches the Rfam family "Bacterial small subunit ribosomal RNA", at positions 26 to 521 of the family's 1533-position model. The record is from RNAcentral.